UUCUUCUAUAUUAGAUUUGAUACUAAGAUAGUCUUUAAAAAAUUAUAUAGUAAAUAACUUAGAAAUAGCUAUUAUUAUACAAUUAUGCUAAAUUUUAUAUUGAUUUUAAUAUUUAUUAAAUUAAAUAAUUAAUAUUAUACAUUAGAAAUGUAUAAAAAUUAUAAAAACUGAGGGCAGCUAGGUGGCUCAGUAGAUUGAGAGCCAGGCUUAGAGAUGGGAGGUCCUAGGUUCAAAUAUGACUUUGGCUAUUUCCUAGCUGUGUGAUCCUGGGUAAGUCACGUAACCCCCACUGACUAGUCCUUACUGCUCUUCUGCCUGGGAACCAAUGCAUAGUAUUGAUUCUAAAACAGAAGGUAAGGAUUAAAAAAAAACAACAAGCCACCUAAGGUUUCAGCCCACAGCCUGUUUCUAAAAUGCAACUAGGAUUGCCUUCUAUGUUCUCCACACUUGAGAUUCAAACUAUCAGUGUUGGCUUGAGAAUACUGCUGACUGAUGGUGGAAGACUCUCCAGAUGACCACCCUGGAGGCAGGUACAUGACCUCUGGUGAUGCAGAGAGGGAACCUUGUCAUGAGUUCAUCAGAACCUUUAAGACCCAGCUGUUGAAGUCCAGUGGCAAGACAAAAGUCAGGAUGACUUGGGACACAGAGGAUGAUCCUUUGAUCUUUGAUGUUUCACCAAGCUGGCUAAGAUGUGAACUGGAAUGACCUCCAGGAAUUGAUGCAGAGUGAAAGGAGCAGAACCAGAAGAACCUUAUAAACAGAGACUAAUACACUGUGGCACAAUUUAAUAUAAUGUUCUUCUCUGCUAGCAGCAAAACUAUGAUCCAGGACAAUUCUGAAGGAUUUAUGAGAAAGAACACUAUCGACAUCCAGAGGAAGAACUGUGGGAGUAGAAAUAAAAAAACAAAAAAAAACUGCUUGAUUACAUGGGUUGACGAGGAUAUGAUUGAGGACAUAGACUCUAAAUGAUGACCCUAGUGCAAAUACCAAUAAUACGGAAAUAGGUGUUGAUCAAUGGCACAUGUAAAACCAGUGAAAUUGCUUUUUGGCAAUGGGAGGGGGUAGGAGGAGGGGAGAGAAAGAGCAUGGGUCAUGUAACCACGGAAAAAUAUUCUAAAUUAAUUAAAUAAAAUUUUUCAAUUAAAAAUAAAAAGGGCUGAGAACAAUUUCUUUGGAGGCACCCACCUUUAGGGAAUACAUGGAAAAAUGAUGAUGUAGGAAAAAGAUGUGGAAGAGAACAAAGAGAGAAUAGCAUCAAGGGAAUCAAGGGAGGAGAGACUAUCCAGGAGGAAGAAGAAAUCAAAAGUAUCAUAUGCCACAAAAAAGUCAAAGAAAAAUAUGAUGUAGGGGGGAGGGCACAAGGAAGUCAUUGCAUUUAGCAGUAAUGGGUCAUUGAUGACCUCUGAGAUGGCAGUAUCAAUUAAGAUUAAGAAGAUAAGAAAUGAAAAAUGGGAUUUAGAUGAAUAGACUCUAAGAUUAAACUACAGGAAUUAGAGAAUUAGCAGGUGAUAUAAUGAACCUAAGUGCAGUUGGUAAGAAUGUAUUUGCCUGGAGUCUUACAAAUCAAAAACUGAAAAGGAAGGGAAAGAGAGAAAACUACCUAUUUAAAUCUACCAAGCUAGAUAAUGUGCGUGAUUUAGGAAGAAAAGUGGUAGUGAUACCCAAAAGUGCAUAGAAGUAAAAAAUUGUAGAAAGGAGUCAGUAAUGAAUGACAUGGCCUCAGAUGCCAAUACACAAAUAUACAAAGUAUAGACAAUGAACAAGAUGAACUAGAGAAAUUAAAGACAGGAAGAAAAAAUUUACUUUUUAACAAUCACUGAAAUGUGGUAGAUUGAGCCCCAAGAACAAAAUCUGGCUCUGGAAGGGUUUAGCUGAUUCUUUUUAUCACCAUCAUCAUCAUCAUCAUCAUCGUCAUGCAAAACACACUUCCAUAUUGGUCAUUGUUGUAAGCCCACACUCAUACAAAACCAAAAGCCCAAGAUAAAACCAUAAAU
Monodelphis domestica (gray short-tailed opossum) is the source of this 1994-nucleotide non-coding RNA. The record is from RefSeq and is a predicted model, not a curated record. Lineage: Eukaryota; Metazoa; Chordata; Mammalia; Didelphimorphia; Didelphidae.